CUUCACCGAGCCCAGCCACAGCGGUGCGUCCUCGGGCCGGUCCUGCCCGUAGGUGGCGAGCAGGGCCUGUGCUUC
Molecule: non-coding RNA, 75 nt
Organism: Streptomyces pratensis ATCC 33331
Lineage: Bacteria; Bacillati; Actinomycetota; Actinomycetes; Kitasatosporales; Streptomycetaceae
Source: Rfam